This 592-nucleotide ribosomal RNA is filed under the name Chaunacops coloratus. RNAcentral's name for it is "partial 16S ribosomal RNA". It matches the Rfam family "Bacterial large subunit ribosomal RNA", at positions 1809 to 2607 of the family's 2925-position model. Lineage: Eukaryota; Metazoa; Chordata; Actinopteri; Lophiiformes; Chaunacidae. The record is from RNAcentral.
AAAAACAUCGCCUCUUGCACACAAUGAAUAAGAGGUCCCACCUGCCCUGUGACUACAAGUUUAACGGCCGCGGUAUUUUGACCGUGCGAAGGUAGCGUAAUCAUUUGUCUUUUAAAUGAAGACCUGUAUGAAUGGUGAGACGAGGGCUUGACUGUCUCCUUUCCCCAGUCAAUGAAAUUGAUCUCCCCGUGCAGAAGCGGGGAUUUUAACAUAAGACGAGAAGACCCUGUGGAGCUUUAGACACCCAGACAGACUAUGUCAAACACCCCUACACAAAGGUAAGAACAAAAUAUGCUACUGUCUCAAUGUCUUCGGUUGGGGCGACCAUGGGGAAAUAAAAAACCCCCAAGUGGAGUGAAAAAACGACCUUUUACAACUAUGAGCCCCCGCUCUAGCUAACAGAAUUUCUGACCAUUAAGAUCCGGCAAAGCCGAUCAACGGACCAAGUUACCCCAGGGAUAACAGCGCAAUCCCCUUCUAGAGACCCUAUCGCCAAGGGGGCUUACGACCUCGAUGUUGGAUCAGGACAUCCUAAUGGUGCAGCCGCUAUUAAGGGUUCGUUUGUUCAACGAUUAAAGUCCUACGUGAUCUG